GCUGUUGCUAUGGGCCUUAUAUGUCACAUGAACCCGAAAAAGUCCUCAUAUAUACUAUUAAAAUCAGGUCUGAACAAAAUAUAGCCCUAGACAAAAUCUCAACAGAUGGAUGUAUUCCUAGAAUCAUGGGACCAAACUAUUCUGAUUCCCAGGUCUCUUGGACCUUGGGAAAGGCAUGUCCCAAUAUGUCACAUUUUUGUCAUAAGUCCUGAUAUUGUCUAUAAACACGUAUGUGUGUGUGUGUGUGUGUGUGUUUAUGUGUGUGUGUGUGUGU
Long non-coding RNA from Coregonus clupeaformis (lake whitefish), 274 nucleotides. RefSeq lists it as uncharacterized. The record is from RefSeq and is a predicted model, not a curated record. The transcript has 3 exons. Lineage: Eukaryota; Metazoa; Chordata; Actinopteri; Salmoniformes; Salmonidae.